CUGCUGUCUAGCUGGGGCUCCGUUACUUCUAUUCUUCAGGUUUGGUGCCUUUUUAUGCCAUUGCAUAUGGAAUUGUUUAACAAUUUCAUUUUUAAAUUGUUCAUAGAAAUAUAGGAAGAUAAUUGAAUUUUGUACUUGAUCAGAUAUCCUGCAACCUGACUAGAUUCACUGAAUCAUUUUCAGUAGUUUGUUUUGUAGAUUACAUAGGGUUUUCUCAACACAUAAUCAUGCUUGCAAAUAAUGGCUUUCUUCCUCUCUUUUUCCUCUCCCUCCCCCAUCUUUCUUUCUGAUUUUUAUGCCCUCUGUUUCCUUUUCUUGCCUUAUUGCAUUGGCUGGGACCCCCAGUACAGUAUGGAACAGAAGUGUCAAAAGUGGCCCUAAGUAUGGGUCACUUUUAGUUUAGUUUUAGUUGUUAGUUUUCUAUAAAUGUAUUUAAUCAGGUUGUGGAAGGUCCCCAUUAUUUCUGGUUUGCUAAGAAUUUUGUCAUAAGUACCUACUGAAUCUUUUUUUCCUGCUACUGUAGUCUUGGGGUUUUCUUUGUGGGAAGGUUUUUAUGUACAACUUUAAUUUCUUUAAUAGGGAUAGGGUUAUUUGCAGCUUCCCCCUUAUUUCCAGUAUUUCAAGAACAGGCAAUUUUAAUGUUACAUUGUGACAAUCAAGACAAACCCUGGUUUCUAAUAGAGAUAUGGCAGAUUUCUGGUUGGGGACAGCCAACGUGCACAAGGGUCCCAGAACGUUUCAUUGUGCCUGAAAGUGAGGGGGCUCUCCAGGACGAAUGGGGCCUGUCGAGAAGACAAGGAGCCAGUUUGAAAGAGGUGGCAUUGGUGAAAUCUGGGACAACCUGAGCAUCCAAAAGAAUGAGGCCCAUAGUUAACUAGGAUACAUCUAAUCCAUUUACAUCCAUGAAUCCACAAUGACACUCUAAGAAAAGAGAAAGCCUGAAAAACUCAGGCAGAUCUUAAACCAACUCUUUAUUUUGAAUAUUGGCAGCCAGAGGGAAAAAUCAAACAUUAUCUUGUUUUGUGCUAGAAAGAGGAUGCCAGUAUAACCAAAUGGCACUAGGUAUGAGGAAAGACCUCCUUUAAAAAGGAAUGUUGGGCCGGGCAUGGUGUCUCAUGCCUAUAAUCCUAGCACUUUGGAUUACAGUGUUAGGGAGGCCGAGGUGGGUGGAUCAGCUGAGGUCAGGGGUUCGAGACCAGACUGGCCAACAUGGCGAAACCCCAUCUCUACUAAAAAUACAAACUUUAGAUGGGUGUGGUGGCACACGCCUGUAAUCCCAGCUACUUGGGAGGCUGAGGCAGGAGAAUUGCUUGAACUCAGAAGGCAGAGGUUGCAGUGAGCCGAGAUCGCACCAUUGCACUCCAGCCUGGGUGACAGAAUGAGACUCUGUCUCAAAAAAACAACAACAAAAAGGAAUGUCGGCCCAUAAAUGUGAAUGAGUGACUGAGUUAGAAAAAUCAUCUUUUCCAAACACCACUGAAAUCAUGGACUAGGACAAGGUUAGCCCAUGAGUGUUUAGACCAGUGAGGUGAGCAGCUGCUGGGGACAGGACCCUUGUCUGGUAUCGAUGGCAGGGAAGGCUGUGAGCCUCCCCUCGUGUGGGCAUCAGCCUCAGCCUCCCAGUGGGGGUCACCCAGGGAGCAUAUCUCCUGGUGAGAAGUACAGGAGCUUCACAUUCCCUGGAUACGUCCCAGCCGAAAUGUUCACCGUGAAUCCGGCAACCUGUGGAGCUGAUUUCCAUUUCUAAGGAAUGAGGGGGGAUGGGGAAGAACCCCCCAGGACAGCACCAACAGUCCCUGCGGGGACCUUUCCCGGACACCCGGCCUUCUCGGCGGUGAGGCAGGUGGCGGCACCGACAGGCCCGGGGGGGACCUUUCCCGGACACCCAGCCUCCUCGGUGGCGAGGCAGGUGGCGGCACCGACAGGCCCGGCGGGGACCUUUCCCGGACACCUGGCCUCCUUGGCAAGGCAGGUGGCGGCACCAACAGGCCCGGGGGGGACCUUUCCCGGACACCUGGCCUCCUCGGCGAGGCAGGUGGCAGAACUGGUUCCACGUCUGAUCUUCCUUAGACAAACCUGCCUUCAGAGGAAAUUGUGUUCAACUGGAGAAACUGGAAAAUGUACUAGAUAUUGGCUGAUAUGAAGGAUAUAUGUUUUGUUAAGUAUGAUAAUUCGAUUUUGGCUCUGUAGGGAAAGGCUCUUAUUUUAAAAAGAUGUGCACUAGAGAAAAAGGAAACAGCAUGUAGCAAAUACAUCCACGGAUGUCCUCCUGGUUUAAUUGGUUCUGUGGCCUCGGUUUCUGUCUUCCUGAUGGCACCUCUGUGACAGGAGCUCAGACCCCGGCAUCAGACCGGCCUCCGCAGGGAGGAGCUGCGGUGCCCAGGCCAGGCCAGGAAGCACCAUGGCCCACUGCCUGGGCCUCACCUCACGAACGCCAAGCACUGUGGCGGG
RNAcentral lists this long non-coding RNA (2451 nucleotides) under Homo sapiens (human). RNAcentral describes it as "non-protein coding lnc-RTP5-9:2". Lineage: Eukaryota; Metazoa; Chordata; Mammalia; Primates; Hominidae. The record is from RNAcentral.